RNAcentral lists this ribosomal RNA (433 nucleotides) under uncultured bacterium. RNAcentral describes it as "partial 16S ribosomal RNA". It matches the Rfam family "Bacterial small subunit ribosomal RNA", at positions 29 to 507 of the family's 1533-position model. The record is from RNAcentral.
AACGAACGCUGGCGGCAUGCCUAACACAUGCAAGUCGAACGAGGCCUUCGGGUCUAGUGGCGCACGGGUGCGUAACGCGUGGGAACCUGCCCUUAGGUUCGGAAUAACUCCCCGAAAGGGGUGCUAAUACCGGAUAAUGUCUUCGGACCAAAGAUUUAUCGCCUUUGGAUGGGCCCGCGUUGGAUUAGCUAGUUGGUAGGGUAAAAGCCUACCAAGGCGACGAUCCAUAGCUGGUCUGAGAGGAUGAUCAGCCACACUGGGACUGAGACACAGCCCAGACUCCUACGGGAGGCAGCAGUGGGGAAUAUUGGACAAUGGGCGAAAGCCUGAUCCAGCAAUGCCGCGUGAGUGAUGAAGGCCUGAGGGUUGUAAAGCUCUUUUACCCGGGAUGAUAAUGACAGUACCGGGAGAAUAAGCUCCGGCUAACUCCGUG